Molecule: ribosomal RNA, 274 nt
Filed under: uncultured bacterium
Lineage: Bacteria
Description: partial 16S ribosomal RNA
Rfam family: Bacterial small subunit ribosomal RNA
Source: RNAcentral
AUACGGAGGGUGCAAGCGUUACUCGGAAUCACUGGGCGUAAAGCGCGCGCAGGCGGCUAUUUAAGUUGGAUGUGAAAGCCUACGGCUCAACCGUAGAACUGCAUCCAAAACUAUUUAGCUAGAGUGUGGGAGAGGAAGAUGGAAUUAGUUGUGUAGGGGUAAAAUCCGUAGAGAUAACUAGGAAUACCAAAAGCGAAGGCAAUCCUCUGGAACACUACUGACGCUGAGGCGCGAAAGCGUGGGGAGCAAACAGGAUUAGAAACCCCAGUAGUCC